This 408-nucleotide ribosomal RNA is filed under the name uncultured bacterium. RNAcentral's name for it is "partial 16S ribosomal RNA". It matches the Rfam family "Bacterial small subunit ribosomal RNA", at positions 28 to 526 of the family's 1533-position model. The record is from RNAcentral.
GACGAACGCUGACGGCGUGCUUAACACAUGCAAGUCGAAGGGAGUGGCGAACGGGUGAGUAACACGUGAGUAACCUGCCCUUUUCUUUGGGAUAAGCCUGGGAAACUGGGUCUAAUACUGGAUGGAUUGGGAUGGGCUCGCGGCUUAUCAGCUUGUUGGUGGGGUGAUGGCUUACCAAGGCUUUGACGGGUAGCCGGCCUGAGAGGGGGGUCGGUCACACUUGGGCUGGGAUACGGCCCAGAAUCCUACGGGAGGCAGCAGGGGGGGAUUGUGGCCAAUUGACGAAAGUCUGAUGCAGCGACGUCGGGUGGGGGAUGAAGGCCUUUCGGUUGGAAACUCCUUUCGCCCGGGGAAUGGGAGUUGGGAAAGAAGCGCCGGCUAACUACGUGCCAGCAGCCGCGGUAAUUC